RNAcentral lists this ribosomal RNA (409 nucleotides) under uncultured Sporichthyaceae bacterium. RNAcentral describes it as "bacterial SSU rRNA". It matches the Rfam family "Bacterial small subunit ribosomal RNA", at positions 356 to 777 of the family's 1533-position model. The record is from RNAcentral. Lineage: Bacteria; Bacillati; Actinomycetota; Actinomycetes; Sporichthyales; Sporichthyaceae.
GGGGAAUAUUGGGCAAUGGAGGAAACUCUGACCCAGCGACGCCGCGUGAGGGAUGAAGGCCUUCGGGUUGUAAACCUCUUUCAGCAGGGAAUAAGCGAAAGUGAAGGUACCUGCAGAAGAAGCACCGGCUAACUAUGUGCCAGCAGCCGCGGUAAUACAUAGGGUGCAAGCGUUGUCCGGAAUUAUUGGGCGUAAAGAGCUCGUAGGUGGUCGAUCACGUCGGAUGUGAAAUUCUGAGGCUUAACCUCGGACCUGCAUUCGAUACGGGUUGACUAGAGUGUGGUAGGGGAGACUGGAAUUCCUGGUGUAGCGGUGGAAUGCGCAGAUAUCAGGAGGAACACCGAUGGCGAAGGCAGGUCUCUGGGCCAUUACUGACACUGAGGAGCGAAAGCGUGGGGAGCGAACAGGA